Molecule: small RNA, 731 nt
Filed under: Pongo abelii (Sumatran orangutan)
Lineage: Eukaryota; Metazoa; Chordata; Mammalia; Primates; Hominidae
Description: retained intron
Rfam family: Small nucleolar RNA SNORA44 (bases 386-497)
Source: RNAcentral
CUGGUGGUGUCUUACUGGCUGCAAGCCUCUGCCUACUUUCCUGCGCGCCGUUCCCUGCCAGUUCCUGUUGCCGGGUUUAUCUUCUCACGGCCUCGAGAUGGUGGUGAACGUGGCACGGAGGAGCCGGGCCUUCCCACCCUGUGGGCCCGAGCUCCGGAAGGCCCCCUCGGCAGUGAGAGGGGCGGGAGCCCGCGGGGGCCGCGCCCUUCUCUCGCUUCGGCCUGCGCAACGCUGCGCUCUGGGCUGACAGAUGAAGACUCUUAAGAUGACAGAAGGUGAAUUUUUCUGGUGAUCGAGGACUCCUGGGGUCAUGAGAGUGAUGAAAUGCAGGGGACCUGGUAGGUUUCUUUUGGAGACUGACUGGGGGCUGCCUGGUGGGACAGAACAGCAUGUUUCCAAGGGCUGUGGCUGGUCAUAGCCAUGGGAUCUCCAACUGCAUGCAAGAGCAACCUGGAAAGACUUUGACAGCGCAGGUGGCCCCCAAGUUUCCUGGCAGUGUGUGAUACUGAGGUGAGCUUGUUUCUGGAGCUGUGCUUUAAGAUUCAUGUGUUACAUGUAAAGCUGUCCUCAGUUGUGACUAUGGACCUAUGGAGUUGGGACAAUCUCUAUGGGAAGCAGAAGGCAAGACCCCGGUCAUUUUAGGUAGAAACAACAGCAUGCUAAUGCAAAAAAUUAUGCAAUGUGCUACUGAACUUCAGAGGUGAUCAAUAAAAGAAUAAAGACUAGUAAAA